This 276-nucleotide ribosomal RNA is filed under the name uncultured bacterium. Its description in RNAcentral is "partial 16S ribosomal RNA". It matches the Rfam family "Bacterial small subunit ribosomal RNA", at positions 793 to 1055 of the family's 1533-position model. The record is from RNAcentral.
GUCCACGCUGUAAACGAUGCACACUAGGUGACGCGCGCUCUGACGCGGGCGCCGCCGAAGCAAAAGUGGUAAGUGUGCCGCCUGGGGAGUACGGCCGCAAGGCUAAAAACUCAAAAGGAAUUGACGGGGGCUCACACAAGCGGUGGAGCAUGUGGCUUAAUUCGAAGCAACGCGAAGAACCUUACCCAGGUUUGACAUGCUUGGAUGCCUCCCGGGGAUAACUCGGGUUGGUUGCCCGCAAGGGUGAAACAAGCACAGGUGUUGCAUGGCUGUCGU